Molecule: ribosomal RNA, 396 nt
Filed under: uncultured bacterium
Lineage: Bacteria
Description: partial 16S ribosomal RNA
Rfam family: Bacterial small subunit ribosomal RNA
Source: RNAcentral
AAUAUUGCACAAUGGGCGAAAGCCUGAUGCAGCAACGCCGCGUGAGUGAUGAAGGUUUUCGGAUCGUAAAACUCUGUCCUCAAGGAAGAUAAUGACGGUACUUGAGGAGGAAGCCCCGGCUAACUACGUGCCAGCAGCCGCGGUAAUACGUAGGGGGCUAGCGUUAUCCGGAUUUACUGGGCGUAAAGGGUGCGUAGGCGGUCUUUCAAGUCAGAAGUUAAAUUCUACGGCUCAACCGUAGCCAGCUUUUGAAACUGGAAGACUUGAGUGCAGGAGAGGAGAGUAGAAUUCCUAGUGUAGCGGUGAAAUGCGUAGAUAUUAGGAGGAAUACCAGUAGCGAAGGCGGCUCUCUGGACUGUAACUGACGCUGAGGCACGAAAGCGUGGGGAGCGAACA